RNAcentral lists this ribosomal RNA (1205 nucleotides) under uncultured organism. RNAcentral's name for it is "bacterial SSU rRNA". It matches the Rfam family "Bacterial small subunit ribosomal RNA", at positions 43 to 1239 of the family's 1533-position model. The record is from RNAcentral.
CGUGCUUAACACAUGCAAGUCAAGGGGAAAGUCUCAGCUUGCUGAGAUGAGUAUACUGGCGGAUGGGUGAGUAACACGUAGGUAAUCUGCCCUUAGGACAGGGAUAACAUUGCUAACGCGAUGCUAAUACCUGAUGAAGCAACUGUUGAAUCAGAUGGUUGUUAAAGGCUGGCUUUCAGCUAGCGCCUGAGGAUGAGCCUGCGUCUCAUUAGCUAGUUGGUAGGGUAAUGGCCUACCAAGGCGACGAUGGGUAGCCGGCCUGAGAGGGUGAGCGGCCACACUGGGACUGAGAUACGGCCCAGACUCCUACGGGAGGCAGCAGUGAGGAAUAUUGCGCAAUGGCCGAAAGGUUGACGCAGCGACGCCGCGUGAGGGAUGAAGCUUUUAGGAGUGUAAACCUCUGUUAGGAGGGAAGAAUAAUGGCAAUUCGAACAGGGUUGUCAGAUGACGGUACCCCCAGAGGAAGCCCCGGCUAACUCCGUGCCAGCAGCCGCGGUAAUACGGGGGGGGCUAGCGUUGUCCGGAAUUACUGGGCGUAAAGGGCGCGUAGGCGGGAUAGCAAGUCAGUGGUGCAAACUUGAGGCUUAACUUCAAGCUUGCCAUUGAUACUGUUAUUCUUGAGUUCGGCAGAGGGAAGUGGAAUUCCUGGUGUAGCGGUGAAAUGCGUAGAUAUCAGGAAGAACACCGGUGGCGAAGGCGGCUUCCUGGUCCGAUACUGACGCUGAGGCGCGAAAGCGUGGGGAGCGAACAGGAUUAGAUACCCUGGUAGUCCACGCUGUAAACGAUGGGUACUAGGUGUGGGUUGUAAUGAUCAGCGCCGGAGCAAACGCAUUAAGUACCCCGCCUGGGGAAUACGGUCGCAAGACUGAAACUCAAAGGAAUGACGGGGGCCCGCACAAGCGUGGAGCAUGUGGUUUAAUUCGAUGCAACGCGAAGAACCUUACCUGGGCUUGAACUGCAGGUGCUAUCUCCUGAAAGGGAGUUUCCUUCGGACGCCUGUAGAGGUGCUGCAUGCUGUCGUCAGCUCGUGCUGUGAGGUGUUGGGUUAAGUCCCGCAACGAGCGCAACCCCUGUCCCUAGUUGCCAUCAGGUCAAGCUGGGAACUCUAGGGGGACUGCCCCGGAUAACGGGGAGGAAGGUGGGGAUGACGUCAAGUCAUCAUGGCCCUUACGUCCAGGGCUACACACGUGCUACAAUGGCCGGUA